UACGGAGGGUGCAAGCGUUAUCCGGAUUCACUGGGUUUAAAGGGAGCGCAGGCGGAUUGGUAAGUCAGUGGUGAAAUACCUGAGCUUAACUCGGGAACUGCCAUUGAUACUAUUAGUCUUGAAUAUUGUUGAGGUAUGCGGAAUGGGUCAUGUAGCGGUGAAAUGCAUAGAUAUGACCCGGAACACCAAUUGCGAAGGCAGCAUGCUAAACAAAGAUUGACGCUGAGGCUCGAAAGCGUGGGGAUCAAACAGG
This 253-nucleotide ribosomal RNA is filed under the name uncultured bacterium. RNAcentral's name for it is "partial 16S ribosomal RNA". It matches the Rfam family "Bacterial small subunit ribosomal RNA", at positions 524 to 776 of the family's 1533-position model. The record is from RNAcentral.